GCCAGCGGCCAUAUCACCCUGCAACUCACAACUGGCAGCCCACUGAAGCUAAGCAGGUGUGAGCCUGGUCAGUACCUGGAUGUGAGACCUCCUGGGAAAAACUAAGGUUGCUGCUGGAA
This 119-nucleotide ribosomal RNA is filed under the name Lepisosteus oculatus (spotted gar). The record is from RNAcentral. Lineage: Eukaryota; Metazoa; Chordata; Actinopteri; Semionotiformes; Lepisosteidae.